RNAcentral lists this long non-coding RNA (342 nucleotides) under Ananas comosus (pineapple). RNAcentral's name for it is "long non-coding RNA (ACOM_LNC024493)". Lineage: Eukaryota; Viridiplantae; Streptophyta; Magnoliopsida; Poales; Bromeliaceae. The record is from RNAcentral.
AAUUUCGCUUUUAGGACAGUGCUCUGCACGCCUCGAUCCACAGGCCUUAUCUAAACCUUUUUUUUACCGCCACUACAACAAAAUUGCUUUUUAGCGGCAAUUUAAUAGCGGUGAUUAUCAAACGGCCACUAUUACUAUUAUCUUACAGUACUUUAGCGGCAAUUGUUUUAAAAAAUAUAUUUUUAUCGACUAAUAUUUAUAUAUUAAAUAUAAUCUAACCCAAUCUCAACCCGAUUCCAACCCAACCCAACCUCAACCCUAUUCCAACCCAACCGCCUGAUUCGCUCGUGAGCGACCUAUUCUCUCUCUGCCCUUAACCUCUCUUCGAGCUCCGAUCUUCUC